AAGUCGUAACAAGGUUUCCGUAGGUGAACCUGCGGAAGGAUCAUUAUCAAUAUAAUAAUCCAAAACGUAUGUUAACUAUGUCUUUCGGGAUAUAGUUAGCAUAUAAACCAAUCUGUGAAAUGUUUUGUUUUUUUACUAUAUUUGGAAAGAGGUUUCGGGUCGUUUAUUCGAUUUUGAAUAAUCUUUUCAAUGUAGUAAAAAAUAUCAUCUUAUUAACCAAUUGAACCCUUUGUUAAAUCUUUAAUUUCUAUUGUGUGAACUGAAUUGUUUCUUACUCUUUCUUGUAACAAAGGAUGAGAAGAAAUUAAAUUUUACGAAACAUAAUAAUUUAAAAGAACAACUCUUAGCAACGGAUAUCUUGGUUCUCGUAACGAUGAAGAAUGCAGC
Molecule: unclassified non-coding RNA, 387 nt
Filed under: fungal sp.
Lineage: Eukaryota; Fungi
Description: partial internal transcribed spacer region
Rfam family: Eukaryotic small subunit ribosomal RNA (bases 1-46)
Source: RNAcentral